AAUAAAUCAAAGCUAAUCAUCCACCGCAGCCUUAGGUCAUCAAUCAAAUCAAAGCUAAGAAGAAGGAUUGCUUAUGAUCAAGAGCCUCAUCUCAUCUUAUAGUAGUAGAAAACAUAUACAUAUAGCGUACGUUGGUACAAUUAAUCAAUAUGCAUGCAUGACACGUCCGGUCUGACCCAUCAACAAUGAACCCAAACUCGCAAGAACAGCGAUAUGGAGCUAGCUUAAUUAGUUGACGGUGACCUUUCCGACCAUGCCGGCCCCGGCGUGCGGCUCGCAGUAGAAGCCGUAGGUGCCGGGCACGGUGAGGGUGACGGAGAAGGUCUCGCCGGGGGCGUUGAGGUACUCCUCCUGGGAGAUCUUGGAGACGUCCACGCCGGAGGGCACGGCGUCCUCGUCGAACACCACGUUGUGCGGGUACCCGGCGUUGUUCUUGAAGGUGAUGGUCUCGCCGGCCUUGACGCUGAAGUCGUUGGGCUCGAACACCAGCACGCCGCCGUUGGCGCCCAGGAGCACGUCCUGCGCCAUCGCCGACCCGC
Molecule: long non-coding RNA, 539 nt
Filed under: Triticum aestivum (bread wheat)
Lineage: Eukaryota; Viridiplantae; Streptophyta; Magnoliopsida; Poales; Poaceae
Description: long non-coding RNA (TAES_LNC002632)
Source: RNAcentral